Molecule: non-coding RNA, 3155 nt
Organism: Microcebus murinus (gray mouse lemur)
Lineage: Eukaryota; Metazoa; Chordata; Mammalia; Primates; Cheirogaleidae
Source: RefSeq, a predicted model, not a curated record
AAGCCAUCUGUUUCUUAAUUUGUGCAUCCAGUUUCAGUCUGUUUUUCUAAAGGAUUUUGGAAAUUACUGUAGGUUUGCCACCUAGCCUUAAACCGCCACCUCCCUGGCGACUGGCUACGUUUUCUGUUUAGUUCUUAUCGCCAUCGACCAAUGGUUGUAUACAUCGGUGGGCCCAGAAAGUAUUGCUUGUCCAGUUUAAUAGAUGCGUUGACACCGCACCCGCAAAGCUCAUGGCAGAGUAAAACCUCAAUCCCUUUCACAAAUCCUUUGCUCCCCACUGCCCACAGGAUAAAAUGCAAAUCAACCAAGCUAGAAUGGGAGGCCCUCUGUGGUGUAAGUAACCUGCAUUCCGAGGUUUUUACCCUGGGCUAUUCUCACCCAUUCAGGUUUUUACUCUGGGUUAUUCUGACCCAUUCCCACCCUAUGUUUUCGCCUUUCCUGAAAUACUCCUUACAGCUCCUGUACCAAUUUUCUCUGUUCAACCUAUGCUUGAUUUCUGGUUACAUUCUGGAUCCCACCCCUUCCUUCACAUUCCAGGCACAUUUCCACUCCAGCACUUGGAAUAGGAAAGAUGGGUGUGGCGCCCACUGGGCCCAUAAGUAAGGACCUGCCCCAGCUGGGGUGCCCUAUGGCCGAGCAGUCAUGGGAGCUGGCGCCUGAGGGGCAGGGACUGAGGGAGAAGGUUUUGUGUAAUAUCAAAAUAUCUGGGUCUCCUUCCAGGAAUUUUUAUUACAGGCCCAUUAGCAAAGGUGUCAAAGGCACAGGAACAAGGAUGCACACCUUAAAAAUACAGAGCUAAAUGGAAAAUCAGUUUGCUCUCACUUGUUUAAAAAGUGCAGAACUUUUAAGCUUAUAUACACAUAAAUCUCAAGGUCUUUAAGAUUCCUUUUAAAUCUAACAUUCUAAGACCUAUUUUCUAUAGAAGGAGGGCCUCAGAAUCCUUGAGGUUAGCUUUUAAAUCUUAAACUUCUGCCUUGUUCUCCACAGUUCCUGGCCUGACCACAUAGCAGGCAUUCAAUAACUACUUGUUUGUUUCCUAAGGAAUCUAGAGAUAGAUUUUUCCUCAUACCUCUGCUUACUCCUCCACUCCCUUCCCUCACCUAUCAUACCUAAGGACUUCAUUCACUUCUGAGUUCCUAAGAAACACCCUAUGUGUAUAUUUGUAGUAGCUAUUCUUUCUUUUUUGCCAUUCUCUUUUUAUAUUGAUGACUUUUCCUCUUGUUUAGAUACUAAAUCUCCAGUUUCCUUGAUUUAGUUAGUAUAUAUGAUUACAAAUUAGUGAUCUUAGGAUUUUUUCUUGAUGAAACCAUCAUUCAGUGAAUAUUUUUUGCUUUCCACUGUGCCAGGGAUCUCAGUAAUAAAAUGACAUAGUUCCCACUUUCCAGAAACUCAGAAUCUUGUGAGGAGCGCAGACAAGUAAACAGAGUACCAGCAGACUGUCUUGGAGAGUGAGGACAUGGGGCCACACACAGGAUGGUGGCUCUGAGAGCAGAACUCCUUCUCCAGUCUGGACCACUGGGCUCUGUACUUUUGCAUGAGAGAAGUAAAUGGCUGUUCCUGGUAGCUGAAUGGGCUCCUAACAGCAUCUCGUUGGCUGGAGCUGGGUUGCGUGGCCGUGCUUGCACAGGAGUUGGGAUCACUGUGCUGCCCCUGGGAUGGACACACUGACCAGCCACAUUUGAGCAGAAGCUGGCUCAGCAUACAGGGGAUGGAGGACGUGUGGCCGUUGCAUAGCAGCCGAUGUUUCUGCCCUGAGAGGCUCAUGAAGAGGCAGGACUUGGGGAGCCAGAGCCGACUGAAGGCACACCCUGUGACCUGUGUGUACAUGUUACCUGCAGGGCAGUUGGAAUGGAGACCCGCUUUACUGUUACACGAGGCAAAACAUUGGUAAAUCUUAUUUUUAAAAGUGUACAGUGUUUACAGAAAAGUCAUUUGUGGGAUUUUUGCUGUUUGGAAUUCCUACGAAGUUUUCUGAGUGUGGAAAGAAGCAAUGUGACAAGAUUUCUGAUAGAGGAUUGUCUUGAAUUCUCUAUGAUCUUGAUCAUCUCUAAUUCUUUUAUCCAUCAGUUGCUAGAACAAAACUUACUUUAGAGUUAUAUAUUACAUAUUUAUCAUUAUCAUACAUAUUUACAAUAGAAAAUAUGGAAAACACAAGAAAAAAGAAAAAGCUGCCAUUCUUUCUGUAGUUAUGUUUCCAUCCAGUUUAUUCUCCAUGUGUAAACUUUUGUUGUGCCAGUGAUUUUUAUUUUUUGAUACAUUUUCAGAUAGUUUUUAGGUCAUUGUGAUCUGUCCUAUACAUGCUAUUUUACAUCCCACUUUUUUCACUUAACACAGCAUAAGUAGUUUUGCUUUUUUCCCUUAUAGUUACAAAUAAUUUUGAGUAGCUGGAGUGGAGUAUAUAUUUAAAAUUUUAACUUCAUUCUAAUUCUUUCUUCAGUGAAAGAUGUUGCUCCCUCCAUGGGGUGUCUCUGCCGUGUUAUAACACAGCAAGAAGACCCUCACCACAUUCAGCCCCUCACUCUCAGACUUCCCAGCCUUCAGAACUUUGAGCCAAAUAAACUUGUAUUGUUUAUUUUAAAAAAAGAAAGAAAAGAAAGAAAGAUGCUCAUAAAAUGGACAUAGAACUCAUGAUAACUUCUUGGCUGCUAGAGAAUGCAAUAGAGAGAUCUCUUUUUGCCCUUAGUGUUUGAGGCAGGAUAACAAAAACCACAUAAACACCAAUGCUAACUUAAAUCUGACACAUGAAACUCACACACUUGCCGUGGAAUAACCAUCCCUUUCCCGCUCCUGUAGCCCUCAUCACAGCAUUACCCAAUUUUGCUCACUUUCAUGAUACAAAGCAAAAGAAUAUUACAGAUUACUGUUGAGGGAGAACUCCUAUUUAGGAAAAGGACUGAAAGGUCCUUAAAUUAUAUGAGUUAUCUAAGUUAGUGCCUUCCAGACCUUUAUAGUAAAAGAUAGGCUUUGAGACAUCAAAUAACACACACAAAAAAAAACAUAAAUAGACAAAUAGAACUGUAUUAAACCAAAAAGUUUCUGUAUAGCAAAGGAAACCAGCAAGAAAGUAAAGAGAUAACUUGCUGAAUGGGAGGAAAUACUUGCCAACCACUCAUCUGACAGGGAACUAACAUCCAGAGUAUAUAAGGAACUCAACA